Molecule: small RNA, 318 nt
Filed under: Arabidopsis thaliana (thale cress)
Lineage: Eukaryota; Viridiplantae; Streptophyta; Magnoliopsida; Brassicales; Brassicaceae
Description: ATSL237560
Source: RNAcentral
UUUAAAAUACUUAAAUUUCCACGAUGCAAAUAUAUCGAUAACGUUAUUAAAAAAAGUAACCGCAUGAUAUAUUCUCUUUCGUAUGAUACUAAGGCUCCGAAAAUGGUGAUUGCGUUUUGCGUUACGGGAGAAGUGCGGUGCGGUUCAAAUAAUAACGAAAAUACAUAGAUACAUAUGUAUAUGUACAAAUUUUAAUACUGUUACAUCACUAUUGCGGUACGGUUUUAAAUGCGGUUUUGGUUAGCAUUCACAGCCUAAUUACUAAAGGCUUGAGAAAAAGAUGGUCAUCUUUUAAAAUCCAUUAAUUGGCCACAUUUU